UUACCCUACGGAAGGCAGCAGUGGGGAAUAUUGCACAAUGGGGGAAACCCUGAUGCAGCAACGCCGCGUGAGUGAUGACGGCCUUCGGGUUGUAAAGCUCUGUCUUCAGGGACGAUAAUGACGGUACCUGAGGAGGAAGCCACGGCUAACUACGUGCCAGCAGCCGCGGUAAUACGUAGGUGGCGAGCGUUGUCCGGAUUUACUUGGCGUAAAGGGAGCGUAGGCGGAUUCUUGAGUGAGAUGUGAAAUACUCGGGCUCAACUUGAGUGCUGCAUUUCAAACUGGAAGUCUAGAGUGCAGGAGAG
Molecule: ribosomal RNA, 305 nt
Filed under: uncultured bacterium
Lineage: Bacteria
Description: bacterial SSU rRNA
Rfam family: Bacterial small subunit ribosomal RNA
Source: RNAcentral